GAACGCCAUCUCUUCGACACUAAACACUAAUUUCGGGAAGAAAAAAAAUUGAGACAAAAAUAGAGAGGAGAGAGAAAAUGGAGGAAAGUGAAGUAAAAAAAAAAACAUACCUGUACUCCCAAGUCAGGAAACCAGAUUUGUAGAGGAGAAAGUGCAAAGGUUCCUAGUAAUUGAAGACUUCAUAAUUUUGGAGCAUAAUUGUGGAUUGAAUCGUUCAAUUGGCUACUUCUUGGAAAUUUUGGUGGUUUGUUUAUUUGGCAAGCGUCCCCUCCAAACUACUCUUAAAGAUUCUUUAGAGCAUUGACAUCUACAGGUUUGCAGAUGUUGCAUCAUGGGAAUCUGAGAAUGGAGAGCUUGUGUAACAGAUUGUUGCUUUAUUAGGAAUAUAUUAUUAAGUUUGGUUUGAAGUUAACAUUUAUACAGUGUUGGUUUUAAGUACUUUGAUUAUUUAUUAUAUUUAAAGUAUGAAGUUUAGUUAUAUGUUUUCAGCUGCAAAAUUCUGAAUAAGCUGAUACGUUAUUACACGGGAGAUAAUGUUUUGGUAA
This is a long non-coding RNA of Beta vulgaris subsp. vulgaris (sugar beet), 545 nucleotides long. RefSeq lists it as uncharacterized. The transcript is spliced from 2 exons. Lineage: Eukaryota; Viridiplantae; Streptophyta; Magnoliopsida; Caryophyllales; Amaranthaceae. The record is from RefSeq and is a predicted model, not a curated record.